GACAUUCCCCCUUCCCAUCCCUCCCUCUCUAUCGUUCUCGUUCUUCUUCUUCUUCUCCCAGAAAAAAUAUCGGCUCGGAGUUGAGGAAGAAAUAACCGGAGGCGAUGGUUGAGACGAGGCGGAGCUCGGCGUCCUCGAAGCGCCCCAUUUCUUUGCCCUCCCCCUCCCCCUCGUCUCCCUCCGCCAAACGCUCCAAGGUGGAGGCGACCUUGAAGGCGCACCAGUUGGAGCCGAGGGAGGAGGCGGCGCCGGGCGCUGAGGACCUCCAGGUCGCGCCUGAUCCGCCGGCUGCCGCUGAUCCGCCGAGGGAGGCCGGCCAUGGCUCGCCGGAACAGGAGAACAGGCCCGAGGAUGGGGCAGGGCAGAGUUCCGUGCUUCAAUUGCCGACCCAAGAGCAAACAGCAAAAGCUGAUGGAGAACAAUUGGGGGCGGUGCCGUUGGAACUCUCGAAGAAACGGGACUUGAAGGUGCAGCCGAAGGCGUGGGCGAAACUUCUUUCGCAGUGUUCGCAGAACCCUCAUCUUGUUAUCUGUGGUUCUCAAUUCACUGUUGGUCAAGGACCAAGCUGCAACUUAUCAUUGAAGGAUCCAUCUGUUGGCAGGACUCUUUGUAAACUGAAACAUCUUGAGUGUAGAGGUGCACCAGGGGCCUUGCUUGAAAUAAUAGGAAGAAAAGGCAUUGUGCAAGUUAAUGGAAAAAUCAUUGAGCAAAUCUCGCAAGUAGUUCUCAUGGGAGGGGAUGAGGUUGUUUUCGGUUCAUCCAGGAGGCAUGCUUAUAUUUUUCAACCACUUGCUAGUGACAAAUUAACUACACCUGCAUCAUGUUCUGCACUUGGCAUUUUGGAUGCACAGGAUGUUCCUACCAAAGAGAUUCAAUUUGAGAGCAGAUCUGGAGACCCUUCAGCUGUUGCUGGAGCGUCAAUAUUGGCUUCUCUAUCUAAUCAUAAGAAAGAUCUGUCAGUCCUUCCACCAGCAUCCAGUGGUGAUAAUGCUCAUGAAGGAGUACAAAGGCCUGCCCUGCCAUCUGCUUGUGAUGUAUCAGAGGGUUGCAAUUCAGACCUUGAUAAGAACUGCGAUGCUGGGACGGGUAAUACUGAGCAUAAUGGGAGUACUGAGGUUCCUUCUGGUGAUAAGGCUGCUGUUGUUUUAUCUACCGAUCUUGGUGCUAAUGAAGCAACUCAGCAUGGUACCAUUGGUUCAGAUGCUCAACUUGAUGGAGAUAUUGGAAAGACUUCUGGUGCAAACUAUGAGAUAAGACCACUUGUGAAGAUGAUUGCAGGAUCAUCGACUGCUGAACUGGAUUUGACUGGAAACAUAUUUAAAGUGUUUGAGGAUCAGAGGGAGCUCCUUAGGGAUCUUGAUACCCCAGCAUCCUUGCCUACUACUAGAUGCCAAGCCUUUAAGGAUGGUUUGAAACAGGGGAUUGUUGAUGCUAGUGAUAUCCAAGUCUCCUUUGAAAGUUUUCCCUACUAUCUUAGUGACAAUACAAAAAAUUUACUUCUAUCAUGUGCAUACAUUCACCUGGAAUGCAAGGAGUUUAUAAAAUAUGCUACCGAGAUUUCAUCUGUAAAUCCGCGAAUUCUAUUAACUGGUCCAACAGGAUCUGAAAUCUAUCAAGAGACUUUGGUAAAGGCCCUUGCAAGACACUUUGGUGCUAGAUUACUCAUAAUAGAUUCUCUUCAGCUACCUGGUGGUCCAUCUUCGAAGGACUCGGAAUCCCUAAAAGAAGGUGGCAGGGUCGAGAAAGCAAGCUUCUUUUCUAAGCGUGGUGCACUGCUUGAUCUUAGAAGACCAACUUCGAGUGUAGAGGCUGACAUGAUGGGGACAUCUAUGUUAAAUUCCCGUUCUUUGCCAAAGCAGGAGGCAUCAACAACAUCAUCAAAGAAAUACACAUUUAAAGAAGGCGAUAGGGUAAGAUAUGUUGGUUCAGGACCUUCAUCAGGCUUUCCUCUUCAGGCUCCUGAGAGUGGUCCAAAUUAUGAUUAUCGAGGUAAAGUUGUUCUUGCUUUUGAGGAAAACGGAGCCUCCAAAAUUGGAGUUAGAUUUGAUAAGCAAAUUCUUGAGGGUAACGAUCUUGGGGGGCUAUGCGAGGAAGAUCAUGGCUUCUUUUGCACUGCUGAUUUACUCCGCCCAGAAUCUUCUGGAGGUGAAGACAUUGAAAGACUUGCCAUCAAUGAGUUACUAGAGGUUGUAUCUGAAGAAAGUAAAAAUGGUCCUUUAAUCAUUCUAAUAAAAGACAUAGAGAAAUCUAUGGCUGGAGGUACAGAUACAUAUUUAACUUUGAAGAGCAAGCUUGAAUUGAUGCCAGCAGGUGUUCUAAUUAUAGGUUCCCAUACGCAGAUAGACAACCGCAAAGAGAAGUCACAUCCUGGAGGUCUUCUCUUCACAAAAUUUGGAAGCAACCAGACAGCACUGCUUGACUUUGCUUUCCCGGAUAACCUUGGUCGGCUCCAUGAGAGAAGCAAAGAAAUUCCGAAGACCAUGAAGCAACUCACUAGAUUAUUUCCUAAUAAACUUUCUAUCCAACUUCCACAGGACGAAGCCCAACUUUUAGAUUGGAAAGAACAAUUGGAUCGUGAUGUUGAAACUCUGAAGGCCAAAUCCAAUAUUCUUAGCAUCCGCUCUUUUCUAAGUCGCAAUGGAUUAGACUGUAAUGAUCUUGAAACGAUAUCCAUAAAGGAUCAAACACUUACAAAUGAAAAUGUGGAUAAAAUAGUUGGCUUUGCACUUAGUCACCACCUUAAGAACAAUAAAAUUGAAGCAUCUGCAAAGGAUGCUAAGCUUGUACUUUCCAAUGACAGCAUUAAGCACGGGCUGGGUAUGCUACAAAGCAUCCAAAGUGAUACUAAGAGUCCAAAGAAAUCACUCAAGGAUGUGGUUACUGAGAAUGAAUUUGAGAAAAGACUUCUAGCUGAUGUUAUUCCACCCGAUGACAUUGGAGUUACUUUUGUUGACAUUGGAGCUUUAGAGAAUGUGAAGGACACAUUGAAAGAGUUGGUGAUGCUUCCUCUACAAAGACCAGAAUUGUUCUGCAAAGGACAAUUGACAAAGCCCUGCAAAGGAAUACUGCUCUUUGGUCCUCCUGGUACGGGAAAGACCAUGCUUGCUAAAGCUGUUGCAACGGAAGCAGGUGCAAAUUUUAUCAAUAUAUCAAUGUCAAGCAUCACCUCAAAGUGGUUUGGGGAAGGAGAGAAGUAUGUCAAAGCAGUUUUCUCAUUAGCAAGCAAAAUUGCUCCUAGCGUCAUUUUUGUUGACGAGGUUGACAGUAUGCUGGGCAGGCGAGAAAAUCCUGGAGAACAUGAAGCCAUGCGCAAGAUGAAAAAUGAAUUCAUGGUGAACUGGGAUGGAUUGCGCACAAAAGAUAAAGAACGUGUAUUGGUGCUUGCUGCCACCAAUAGGCCUUUUGACCUUGAUGAUGCUGUCAUAAGGAGGUUUCCUCGGAGAUUAAUGGUAAACUUACCAGAUGCAUCAAAUAGAGAAAAAAUUCUCAGAGUAAUAUUAGCCAAAGAGGAGCUGACACCAGAUGUUGCUUUGGAAGCACUUGCCAAUAUGACGGAUGGAUAUUCAGGAAGCGACUUGAAGAAUCUCUGUGUAACUGCUGCACAUUGCCCCAUUAGAGAAGUUCUGGAAAAGGAAAAGAAGAUACAGAAGGGAGUUCCUGCAUUUAGGAGAGAAGUUCAGCAUUAGCAGAAGGUAGACCUUUACCUGCAUUGCAUGGAAGUGAUGACAUCCGUCCUUUAAGCAUGGAAGACUUGAAAUAUGCACAUGAGCAGGUAUGUGCUAGUGUAUCAUCUGAAUCCACAAACAUGAGUGAGCUUCUACAAUGGAAUGAGCUCUAUGGCGAAGGUGGGUCGAGGAAGAAGAAAGCACUGAGCUAUUUCAUGUAAGAGAUGCCCAUUUUGUGUACAGCCGUUCUCUUACAUCCAUCCGCGAAUGCUUGCAAAUUUGGCAGCCAAUAUAACUGGUUUUCCUUCCCAGGCUUCCAUGUAUUUAAGGUGUUUCAAGUCAUUUAUCAAUCUCUAAUUUAUAGUAAGUUAUAUUUUAUCAUUUCCAUCAAGCUGGUAUAACAAUAGCCUUUUUUGUCUGUAAAAUAUGGCACUUCAGCAUGGCUGAAGGCCUAUGUAAAUAGCAUAGAAAUUGCUGAGAGGAAUAAACACUGCAACUAGAGUUUUUCCUUCCUUUAUUUAAUCUCUCCUUUUGUUCAAGUGGCAAGUGUAUUCAUUACUGGAUGUUACCAAUAGCUGUUUUUGUGGCAUCUUUUGCCAUGUUUCA
Molecule: RNA transcript, 4271 nt
Organism: Phoenix dactylifera (date palm)
Lineage: Eukaryota; Viridiplantae; Streptophyta; Magnoliopsida; Arecales; Arecaceae
Source: RefSeq, a predicted model, not a curated record